This 243-nucleotide ribosomal RNA is filed under the name Escherichia coli. RNAcentral describes it as "partial 16S ribosomal RNA". It matches the Rfam family "Bacterial small subunit ribosomal RNA", at positions 1291 to 1533 of the family's 1533-position model. RNAcentral also lists the same sequence under 2 other names. Lineage: Bacteria; Pseudomonadati; Pseudomonadota; Gammaproteobacteria; Enterobacterales; Enterobacteriaceae. The record is from RNAcentral.
GGAUGGAUUGGAGUCUGCAACUCGACUCCAUGAAGUCGGAAUCGCUAGUAAUCGUGGAUCAGAAUGCCACGGUGAAUACGUUCCCGGGCCUUGUACACACCGCCCGUCACACCAUGGGAGUGGGUUGCAAAAGAAGUAGGUAGCUUAACCUUCGGGAGGGCGCUUACCACUUUGUGAUUCAUGACUGGGGUGAAGUCGUAACAAGGUAACCGUAGGGGAACCUGCGGUUGGAUCACCUCCUUA